AUUGAACGCUGGCGGCAUGCUUUACACAUGCAAGUCGAACGGCAGCACGGGGGGGUAACCCUCUGGUGGCGAGUGGCGAACGGGUGAGUAAUGCAUCGGAACGUACCGUGUAGAGGGGGAUAACUAUCCGAAAGGAUGGCUAAUACCGCAUGAGCCCUGAGGGGGAAAGCUGGGGACCGGAGACGGCCUGGCGCUAUACGAUCGGCCGAUGUCCGAUUAGCUAGUUGGUGAGGUAAAGGCUCACCAAGGCGACGAUCGGUAGCGGGUCUGAGGGUGCGAUCAGCAACACUGGAACCGAGACACGGUCCAGAAUCCUACGGGAGGCAGCAGUGGGGAAUUUUGCGCAAUGGACGAGAGUCUGACGCAGCAACGCCGCGUGGGUGAUGAAGGUCUUCGGACUGUAAAACCCUGUCGUCAGGGACGAAGGUGCUCGUGUUAAUAGCGCGAGUGCUUGACGGUACCUGGAGAGGAAGCCCCGGCUAACUCUGUGCCAGCAGCCGCAGUAA
RNAcentral lists this ribosomal RNA (506 nucleotides) under uncultured bacterium. RNAcentral describes it as "partial 16S ribosomal RNA". It matches the Rfam family "Bacterial small subunit ribosomal RNA", at positions 29 to 523 of the family's 1533-position model. The record is from RNAcentral.